This is a long non-coding RNA of Motacilla alba alba, 2948 nucleotides long. RefSeq lists it as uncharacterized. NCBI's taxonomy places the organism in Eukaryota, Metazoa, Chordata, Aves, Passeriformes, Motacillidae. The record is from RefSeq and is a predicted model, not a curated record. The transcript is spliced from 3 exons.
AACAGUGACACAGAGAUCUCCAGCAUCACCCCAACCACCAAGACCCAUUCCUAGAGUCCUCAGCUGGCACCAGGGACAUUUCUCAAGGUGGAUGUGACCAUCAUAGGGGCAUCAGGUGCACCCUGCCGCUGCCAUGACUCACCAACUCAGACACACAGGAUGCUCAAGGGGAAAAGAAAUCUCAUGGCAAGUGAUACCCAGAACUGCCAAGCCACCACAAGUUUUGACUCUGGAUUCAGCAACAUUUGGAGAUUCUACCCUGCACUUCUGCUUCUAAAAGUAAUCAUCUGAAAAUGGCAGCUCACUCCUCCAGAUCCUGUCUGCCUCAACUCCAGUGUCCUGGCAGAGCUGAUUUCCGACCCUCCCAGCCCUGGUGCAGUCACAAGUUCCCCUGUACACCCAGAUGCACUACCUGCAGCUGCACGCAGCCCUGCUUGUCCCAGUUGUCAGCCCAAGGCUCUUAGUGCUGUCAAGGCUGCAGCGUGCAAACCCAAAACCUCGUCAUGAGUCAGAGCCUAGAACGACUCACUAGUGCUGGCAGCUGUUCAGGCAGGUUUUCCCAGCAAAUUCGGUAAUUUUGCUCCAGCAAGAGGCUGGCGAAUUCAGGGUGCUAACAGCCAGUGCCAGGUUAGCCAGCAGGAUGGACAAUGCAGUGCCCCUCUCACCAAAACCCCAAGCUGUCUGAGCCUUCUCUGGACCUAGACACAGGGGCUGUAGGGGUUGGCAUGGCUGGGAGCUGCCCUGGUACCUCUCCACGGGCAAUGCCUGCCCUUGGGAUGUGCUGCACUGACACAGAUGCAGUGACGUGGGGUAGCUGGACCUGUCCUCACAUGAGCCCAUCACAACCCUGUGCCCUGCUCCUUGCUGGUCCUAAAUCCUCACCUUCUCCUUGCAUGGUGAGAAGACACUGUUCACCCUCAUUUUAUCAGAGAGCCAAGCUGAGGGAGAGGCAGAGGCUGCCUUGCCCUUGGCAGGGUUGCACCACAGGACUGGGGAGCUGAGCUGCUCCCAGAGCCUUCACUGCAGCUGUGACAAAACUCACUGGCAAUUUUUCCCCCAUCCAAGAUAACAUAUGUGAGCAGAGGAAUAUCUCCCCCACACAGCAGUCUGCAGACAGUGGUUAUCAGUGUCCAUUUCAUCACCCACCUCGGGUUCCAGUACCUCCCUGGACUGCAGCUGCUGCACCACAUCCAGCCCUCUCCCAGCUCAGGAUACCACUCCAUCCCACUGGAACUGGGCCAGGGCCGUGCUGAUGCGCUCACAAGCCAUGUGCGGCACCCACCAUGGUCCCACACAACCCGCACGACCAGUCCAGCACCUCCUGCUCCUAUGGGCCAGCAGCCAGGCGCCCCACAGCUCCACCAGCAACAUCUCCAGUGAGUCAGAGAGGAGCCUGGCACCGCCACGCUUGCGGGUGGACAAAGUCUUUCUCGAGUCGGUUCCCUGCACCGAUUCCUUUUCCCGUCAGCACGGCCUUUGGAUCCACUGGGAGAGCCCAUGCUGCAGUUGGCCAGGCCACUGCCCGCCUGGCACAGAAACGCCUCUGGGACAAGGGCAGCAACACAGCAAAGUCCUCCAGGACUUGGCUCCAUGCUCUGCUUUCCACCAACACCCAGGUGGAGAUAAAGUCACAUCCUCCAAAGAUGCCACCAGCCUAGAAAGCACCAGCAAGCACACUGGCAGUCCGAGGAGGAGGCAGGAUGGUUCCUUCUGCCUCCAACAGGUUUCCUAGCUGGACAAACCCCAAGGUCCAGUGACAGGCUCCUGUCAUUGCUCAUCCUGGCCAGAAACCUGACCCCAGCUGGACUUUGCCUGCCAUGAGAUGGCCUGGGAAGUCUGAAUGGAAAGAGAUGGGAAGCAAGGGCUGGGGCAGGGAUGAGAGGAACUCAGGGCUGGAGCUGCCAGCGGGGUUUAGAGCUGCGGGUUUAUCAAACACAGUGUCAUCCCCCCCCCUCCCUGGAAUAUAAAGGGAGUGAAACAGAAGCCGUGUGGGAGAUAAGGCGGCAGCACCCAGCAGCUCAUAUGGAAUUACUGCAGUGACCUUGACCAAGAGUGGCCAGAACUUCUAUGCCGCCCACCUGCCCUCUGCUACCAGUCUCCUCCCUGGAAGAUGCCAGCAUAGGAUAUUCUUCCAUUGUGUCCUUCUUAAUCAAACCAAGCAUGGAUCUCAGCCUCAGAGAGUGACUCACCAAGUCAUCAAUUGCUCCACGCCACAGCUGGAGGCUGAGAAAAUGGUCAAGAUCAGAAGGGAGACAGCGCAGCAACUGCCACCUUGUUUGACCCUGUGCUCAGAAGUGAAGGCACCUUAUAGCUGACAGCUGCCCUGUGCAACUAAACCAACAAAACAGCUCCCAUUGUCUAAAUAUCUGUGCAAGGGGAUGCUAAAUUGCUUUCCUCAUGUUAGAGGCCUCCAAGAUCUCAAUGGUUUGCAAAUCAACAGGCUCUCAGGAACCCAUAAAUAUUACUGUUAAACUAGGUCUGCUCUUCAACAUGACACAUGUUUGUAAAUCUACCUGCUCUGUGUUUACCAAGAGGAACCUGCAUCCUUCUAAUCUAGAAGCAACUCAAAGCUGUUGAUAUGUUUACAGUCUGAAAGCCUGGGCAAAGAACAGAGAGACUGUAUGAGGGAGGAGACACUUAUCUGAGUAAAAGGGUACAGAAAAUACCCAAAGGUUUCAUAAAUACAGACUGGAAUAGUCUUGCCAGAAAUAAUCUUGUACACUCUCCAAAAUUGCAUGCAUUUAAUAUUCUAAACUUAUCUCCAGGAAAAAAAAAAAAGGCAUUUGGGUCCUAGACAGCUGCUACAAUUAAGCUAUAAAAAAACAGAGUGUAAAGAUGACUUCUAGACCUUCUAUAAUUAUGUGCACUCUGAAUCACAACACUUGGAAGAGUGCUUGCUAAGGCUGUUGAUCACACAAUGUUUUCACAAGCUUUUCCUUGCAAAGGUA